This 500-nucleotide ribosomal RNA is filed under the name uncultured bacterium. Its description in RNAcentral is "bacterial SSU rRNA". It matches the Rfam family "Bacterial small subunit ribosomal RNA", at positions 303 to 793 of the family's 1533-position model. The record is from RNAcentral.
UAUCCCCCCUGUGUGCCUUGUACGACUUACUACGCACUCCUACGGGAGGCAGCAGUGGGGAAUAUUGCACAAUGGGCGCAAGCCUGAUGCAGCCAUGCCGCGUGUAUGAAGAAGGCCUUCGGGUUGUAAAGUACUUUCAGCAGUGAGGAAGGUGGAUAUGUUAAUAGCAUAUUCAUUUGACGUUAGCUGCAGAAGAAGCACCGGCUAACUCCGUGCCAGCAGCCGCGGUAAUACGGAGGGUGCGAGCGUUAAUCGGAAUUACUGGGCGUAAAGCGCAUGCAGGUGGUUUGUUAAGUCAGAUGUGAAAGCCCGGGGCUCAACCUCGGAAUUGCAUUUGAAACUGGCAAACUAGAGUACUGUAGAGGGGGUAGAAUUUCAGGUGUAGCGGUGAAAUGCGUAGAGAUCUGAAGGAAUACCGGUGGCGAAGGCGGCCCCCUGGACAGAUACUGACACUCAGAUGCGAAAGCGUGGGGAGCAAACAGGAUUAGAUACCCUGGUAG